Salvia splendens (bonfire salvia) is the source of this 1046-nucleotide long non-coding RNA. RefSeq lists it as uncharacterized. The transcript has 7 exons. Lineage: Eukaryota; Viridiplantae; Streptophyta; Magnoliopsida; Lamiales; Lamiaceae. The record is from RefSeq and is a predicted model, not a curated record.
CCCUCCACCAUCGGUAUUCACUCCCUCAUUCUCCAUUCACCAUUUUCCCCAAAUUGAGAUCCCCAAUUUGAGCAACCCUUAAUUCCCGUCGCCUCCUCCGACUCACUCUACACCGGCGACCACAACGCCCUCUCACUCCCUUCUACGUCCUCUCUACACUCCGGCUAAACAACACAGUCAAGUCACGAUUCGCCCUUCGUUCCACCACCGCCUUUGAUUUCGGUUCGCGAGGUCUCAUCACCACCACUCCGUCGCCGUCAGAACGGAGUUUCUGUGCUACUGUUUGGAAGCCGCUGCCGUGGAAUCACCGCAGCCGAACAUCAGCGCCGAAUCAGGCGCCUCAUUGUCCCAGCUUUGCCGCAAUGUCUCGCCGUCGCCACUUGUUUAUUUAAUCGAGGAAGCGGACAGACUCGCCGUCUGAUUUUGAUGCUGCCGAUUCUCGCCUAGCGGUGAGAGGCGCUCGAGAAUCCACCAAGCAGUCGCUGCCAUCGGGGUCUCACUUCGGUCGGUGUCAUUCUCCAGCCAUCUCGGCUGCAUUGUCACUAUCAAUUUCGUCGGACUUCCGUGGACUUCUAGGCUUAAUAGUUGUGUGGCAAUGGAGGCGUUCUUGUUCUAGUUCAGGCCAUCAUGAACUUAAAGUUAUCGGGCUGAGACAAUAUUUCCUCAUACAUGGCUGCUAUCUCCCUCCUAAAAUCUAAAGCUUUAUCUAUUCUUUUGCACCUUUGUGAAGCUGAAAGUGUAUCCUACCUGGAUGAGGUGGCCAGCAACACAACAACUAGGGAUGUGGCAAAGUCUGUUGGACUCGAGGUUCUUCAAUUGCUGAAAAAUGUUUGGUAUAGAUUCAAGACAGUUAAAAGCUCCCUCCGAGGCAAGUUACCCGAAGGGUCAACUGGAACGUAAUACAAAGCGCUUGGCAGAUGUCGUCUCAGAUGCUUCAAAUUUUCGGUCAUUCAUCAUGAUAAACUUUAAGCUGACAAAGUGUCUAAAGUUAGCAAGAACUUAUGUUCACAGUUGAGUCAUUCUGAAUCUUUAGUUCCAGGAGUUUU